RNAcentral lists this ribosomal RNA (915 nucleotides) under human gut metagenome. RNAcentral describes it as "bacterial SSU rRNA". It matches the Rfam family "Bacterial small subunit ribosomal RNA", at positions 480 to 1398 of the family's 1533-position model. The record is from RNAcentral.
AUAUGAAUAAGGAUCGGCUAACUCCGUGCCAGCAGCCGCGGUAAUACGGAGGAUCCGAGCGUUAUCCGGAUUUAUUGGGUUUAAAGGGAGCGUAGGUGGACUGGUAAGUCAGUUGUGAAAGUUUGCGGCUCAACCGUAAAAUUGCAGUUGAUACUGUCAGUCUUGAGUACAGUAGAGGUGGGCGGAAUUCGUGGUGUAGCGGUGAAAUGCUUAGAUAUCACGAAGAACUCCGAUUGCGAAGGCAGCUCACUGGACUGCAACUGACACUGAUGCUCGAAAGUGUGGGUAUCAAACAGGAUUAGAUACCCUGGUAGUCCACACAGUAAACGAUGAAUACUCGCUGUUUGCGAUAUACAGUAAGCGGCCAAGCGAAAGCAUUAAGUAUUCCACCUGGGGAGUACGCCGGCAACGGUGAAACUCAAAGGAAUUGACGGGGGCCCGCACAAGCGGAGGAACAUGUGGUUUAAUUCGAUGAUACGCGAGGAACCUUACCCGGGCUUAAAUUGCAGUGGAAUGAUGUGGAAACAUGUCAGUGAGCAAUCACCGCUGUGAAGGUGCUGCAUGGUUGUCGUCAGCUCGUGCCGUGAGGUGUCGGCUUAAGUGCCAUAACGAGCGCAACCCUUAUCUUCAGUUACUAACAGGUCAUGCUGAGGACUCUGGAGAGACUGCCGUCGUAAGAUGUGAGGAAGGUGGGGAUGACGUCAAAUCAGCACGGCCCUUACGUCCGGGGCUACACACGUGUUACAAUGGGGGGUACAGAAGGCAGCUAGCGGGUGACCGUAUGCUAAUCCCAAAAGCCUCUCUCAGUUCGGAUCGAAGUCUGCAACCCGACUUCGUGAAGCUGGAUUCGCUAGUAAUCGCGCAUCAGCCACGGCGCGGUGAAUACGUUCCCGGGCCUUGUACACACCGCCCGUC